UACGGAGGGGGCUAGCGUUGUUCGGAAUUACUGGGCGUAAAGCGUGCGCAGGCGGUUCGUUAAGUUCGUUGUGAAAGCCCCGGGCUCAACCUGGGAACUGCAAUGGAAACUGGCGGGCUUGAGUGUGGCAGAGGGGGGUGGAAUUCCGCGUGUAGCAGUGAAAUGCGUAGAGAUGCGGAGGAACACCGAUGGCGAAGGCAGCCCCCUGGGCCAACACUGACGCUCAGGCACGAAAGCGUGGGGAGCAAACAGG
RNAcentral lists this ribosomal RNA (253 nucleotides) under uncultured bacterium. RNAcentral's name for it is "partial 16S ribosomal RNA". It matches the Rfam family "Bacterial small subunit ribosomal RNA", at positions 524 to 776 of the family's 1533-position model. The record is from RNAcentral.